UACUCGAGUGGCGAACGGGUGAGUAACACGUGGGUGAUUUGCCCUGCACUUCGAGAUAAGCUUGGGAAACUGGGUCUAAUACCGGAUAGGAGCCAUCUUUAGUGUGGUGGUUGGAAAGUUUUUUCGGUGUAGGAUGAGCUCGCGGCCUAUCAGCUUGUUGGUGGGGUAAUGGCCUACCAAGGCGGCGACGGGUAGCCGGCCUGAGAGGGUGUACGGCCACAUUGGGACUGAGAUACGGCCCAG
RNAcentral lists this ribosomal RNA (243 nucleotides) under uncultured Actinomycetales bacterium. RNAcentral describes it as "partial 16S ribosomal RNA". It matches the Rfam family "Bacterial small subunit ribosomal RNA", at positions 88 to 334 of the family's 1533-position model. The record is from RNAcentral. Lineage: Bacteria; Bacillati; Actinomycetota; Actinomycetes; Actinomycetales.